RNAcentral lists this transfer RNA (76 nucleotides) under Blastopirellula sp. J2-11. Its description in RNAcentral is "tRNA-Gln". Lineage: Bacteria; Pseudomonadati; Planctomycetota; Planctomycetia; Pirellulales; Pirellulaceae. The record is from RNAcentral.
UGUGAGAGGUUCGCUGUUGGUAGUGACGCCUGACUUUGAAUCAGGUCGCUGCUGGUUCGACUGGCGGCUCUCGCAG